UGGGGAAUAUUGCACAAUGGGCGCAAGCCUGAUGCAGCCAUGCCGCGUGUAUGAAGAAGGCCUUCGGGUUGUAAAGUACUUUCAGCGGGGAGGAAGGCGAUAAGGUUAAUAACCUUGUCGAUUGACGUUGCCUGCAGAAGAAGCACCGGCUAACUCCGUGCCAGCAGCCGCGGUAAUACGGAGGGUGCAAGCGUUAAUCGGAAUUACUGGGCGUAAAGCGCACGCAGGCGGUCUGUCAAGUCGGAUGUGAAAUCCCCGGGCUCAACCUGGGAACUGCAUUCGAAACUGGCAGGCUAGAGUCUUGUAGAGGGGGGUAGAAUUCCAGGUGUAGCGGUGAAAUGCGUAGAGAUCUGGAGGAAUACCGGUGGCGAAGGCGGCCCCCUGGACAAAGACUGACGCUCAGGUGCGAAAGCGUGGGGAGCAAACA
RNAcentral lists this ribosomal RNA (427 nucleotides) under uncultured bacterium. RNAcentral's name for it is "partial 16S ribosomal RNA". It matches the Rfam family "Bacterial small subunit ribosomal RNA", at positions 355 to 774 of the family's 1533-position model. The record is from RNAcentral.